Molecule: long non-coding RNA, 831 nt
Filed under: Rattus norvegicus (Norway rat)
Lineage: Eukaryota; Metazoa; Chordata; Mammalia; Rodentia; Muridae
Description: long non-coding RNA NONRATT003657
Source: RNAcentral
UCUUGUCCUGUACUGUAUUCCUAAUUUCAUUUGAUGCCUUUAAAAUAUUCUCUUGGAUCUCACUGAGUUUCUUUGUCUGCAUUUUAAAAUUCUUUAUCAGGCAUUUCAUCCAUUUUGAUUUCUUAGGAAUUUGUGGCUGGAGAGAGUGACAUCUUUGGACAUGGUGCAACUCUUAUGUCCCUAUAUUGAGCUUUCUGCAUCUAAUGGAUCCAAUGACUACUACUUUAGAGGUGGCCUCCUACGUGGCUCUCUCCUGAAGUUGUGCCUUAUUCAGUUUGCUAGGCAUUUGGCUUUACUUUGAAUUGGACAUUGUAGCAUAGCCUUCCUAUAGCUUCGUUAGUUAUGACUCAUGACCAGGCACUACACGCUGUGUCAGAGUCAGAGAUGUAUGUGGGCUACACAGUUGAGGCUACGUUAGCAGCUUAGGCAGUACAGUGUCAACAACAGAAUGUGUGGAAUGCCGUAGCCAGUCUUGCCACAAGGGUGCCCAGUCAGUCAGCCAAUGUGUUUGCAAUUAUUGGUGUUGGCUCUGCUACUAGUCAAGGCCUCUGGUACGAGCAGUCCUAGUGGUGUUAAGGGAACUGAACUCUGUCCUGUGAACAGACAAAAGUCUCUGGCUUUGGCCCAGAGACUGCACAGGAAGAGGCUGAUGGGAACCACUGACCCCUCUCUAUGGUGUUUAUAUCUGGUCCUGACUGCAUUUCCUUUCAGACAUGGUGUGAGGCCAUCAGGAAGUAGAUAGGUGGGGUAGUACCAACAGUUGUGGCUCUCUCCUCUGCUGGCUUCUGAGAGCCUGUCAGAAGUGGGGCUUCCACACCUACUGCUCUUGUA